RNAcentral lists this ribosomal RNA (447 nucleotides) under uncultured bacterium. Its description in RNAcentral is "bacterial SSU rRNA". It matches the Rfam family "Bacterial small subunit ribosomal RNA", at positions 355 to 825 of the family's 1533-position model. The record is from RNAcentral.
UCGGGAAUUUUGGGCAAUGGGCGAAAGCCUGACCCAGCAACGCCGCGUGAAGGAUGAAGUAUUUCGGUAUGUAAACUUCGUAAGAAUAGGAAGAAUAAAUGACGGUACUAUUUGUAAGGUCCGGCUAACUACGUGCCAGCAGCCGCGGUAAUACGUAGGGACCAAGCGUUGUUCGGAUUUACUGGGCGUAAAGGGCGCGUAGGCGGUGUGUCAAGUCAGUUGUGAAAUCUCCGAGCUUAACUCGGAACGGUCAACUGAUACUGUCACACUAGAGUACAGAAGGGGCAAUCGGAAUUCUUGGUGUAGCGGUGAAAUGCGUAGAUAUCAAGAGGAACACCUGAGGCGAAGGCGGGUUGCUGGGCUGAUACUGACGCUGAGGCGCGAAAGCUAGGGUAGCAAACGGGAUUAGAUACCCCCGUAAUCCCUGAGCGGGCUGGCAAGGCGCAU